RNAcentral lists this long non-coding RNA (2973 nucleotides) under Setaria italica (foxtail millet). RNAcentral's name for it is "long non-coding RNA (SITA_LNC005423)". Lineage: Eukaryota; Viridiplantae; Streptophyta; Magnoliopsida; Poales; Poaceae. The record is from RNAcentral.
UGAACUGCUCCGUAAGAGAAAAGGGAUGAAAUAUGUAGAUUUCUCCUGAUGGUCGGCUUCUAUAGGCAGGUGUGGAUAGUAUCACCAGAUCGUUGGCUCUGGAAUGGGGAACAGAUUAUGACAUUAGAGUCAAUGGAAUUGCACCAGGGCCAAUUCAAGACACUCCAGGAAUGAGGAAGCUUGCACCUGAGGAAAUGAGCAAGGGGCGUCGAGAAAUGACACCAUUAUUUAAGCUUGGGGAGAAAUGGGACAUAGCGAUGGCCGCACUCUAUCUGGGUUCUGAUGCAGGUGGGUUGUGUUCUUCACUGUUUUCUAACCAGAUUAUCAACAGGUUCAACUGUACACAGAGUUUCAUUUAGUACUUAGCAUCCGCUUAUCUGAAGGGUAUCUGGAAGUGGUUGUUAUGUGCACGCUUAAUAUGCUUUGUUAUUGUGGUUUUUGCUGGUUAUGUUCAUGCAUGUCUCUUAAGUAGUCAGUUUAAACCCCCAUGGUUAUUAUGUGUUUCUCAGUAAGUUACUCAGUAGCAGGUUUCAGCCUCACCUUGUUAAAAAAAGGUUUAGCCUCACCUGAAGACUUAGCCAUUUUUCUUUUCGCGAGGAGAAAAAAUCAGCCAUUUGAUGUAUGGUACAAUCUGAUAUGCAGGAAAAUAUGUCAAUGGGGCUACAAUUGUUGUUGAUGGAGGCCUUUGGUUGAGUCGACCUCGCCAUAUUCCCAAAGAGGAAGUGAAGGCGCUCUCUAAGGUUGUCGAGAGGAAGGUCAGGACCUCUGGUGUUGGCGUGCCAUCCAGCAAAUUAUGAUGGCAUCUUUGUUUAUGUAGCUCUUCGGUGUGUUCUGUGUAGAAUAUGUCCAUAUUGUUGUCACCACUCACCAGUAUUGUUCUCAGUUUGAUUAUGUCAGCUGACCAGAGUCUGUUCAGCUGAGCAAAGUUCAAACAUUUACUGUUGAUGUAUUCCAAAUCGCAUUAGAAAUUGAUGAGAUUGUUAUGGCCUCCCAACCACGAAGUGUUUAUCUCCAAAUGUUUGCAUGCUAUCUUCCAAAUCUUUGUUCAGAUUGUCUGUGGAGUGUUAUAUUGAAGAUUGAACAACUUGCAUAUCCCUCGUGUUGCAACUCCUUGCAAAUAGUUUACUACCAGGAGUUGAAAGAAAGCCUUUCAGGCUUCUUCCGGGGCCUUUCGUUGCGGCUUGACCCUGUGAAUGUUUGAACCUUUGUCUGGGCUGCUUCUUCUGACUGACAGACCUUGCUGUGAUCUUCUCCCUCGAAUUUUUCUACUACUACCUGCUUGCGCACCUAUGCGAUGACCAGUGCAGUGCCCUCUUGGCAAACACGAGGGAGAAGGUAAACGCCAUCGUUGUCGCGGUGCCGUGGUGCGGCUGUGUGGACUGUGGUGGAGUACUACAAACUAUAAACAAAACGGACAGAGGCCGGCCGCAGCCGCCAACUCCUUCGGUCCCCUUCCCCAAUCGCGCCCCAGACGCCUCCGGAACCGCGAGGCCGGCGCGCGCAAGAUCUGAGCCGAGGGGAUGGAGUCACCAUUCCGGGCAGACGUGCUCAAGGGGAAGGCGGCGCUAGUCACAGGCGGUGGAUCCGGCAUCUGCUUCGAGAUUGCCGCCCAGCUCGCGCGCCAUGGCGCGCAGGUCGCCAUCAUGGGCCGCCGCCGCGAGGUCCUCGACAAGGCCGUCGCCGCUCUCCGGUCCCAGGGCCUCCGGGUGCGUCCCCAAUCGACUUUCUACCACCCUAGCUUCCACUUAUACUGUUCUUGGUUUCCGGGUGCUAAUGUCUGGGUGAUUUCUGUCGUUGUUUGCUGGGAAAAACACGGUCUUUUGCUUGUAAUGGUACUAGCAGCUAUGGAUGUUAAUUUGCUAGUCGCAUCGUCUUGUGCUGGAAAUGAAAUUGGUGGAAGUUCUUCGAAUCCAAUGCACAGCGUUGUCUAGGAAGGGUCUCGGUGUAGGAACGCUUCCGUGCAAGCAGCAUAUAUGUUUUCAGAGUCUCUUGCUUGUGAAACAAAAUUCAUAUGCUCCCUGUCAUGAUUUUAAUGUGCUAAACUUGUACCAUGGUUCUUUUGCGAUCAAGACAUAAACUGCUGUCACUCUUUAGUCAUUCAAAUGGUGUGAUGUGCAGGCUGUUGGUUUUGAUGGAGAUGUCCGCAAGGAGGAGGAUGCGGCCAAAGUGCUUGCGGCGACAGUUGAGCAUUUUGGCAAGCUUGACAUUCUUGUCAAUGGUGCAGCCGGCAACUUCCUUGCUUCCCCGGAGGAUUUGACACCCAAGGGAUUCCGAACCGGUACUUCAUCAAAGCGUGCUCUUGUGUUCAUUCAGUGAAGCUCUCUGUUCCAGUCGUUCGCACAUUGUCAGCAAUACACAGAAUCUUGGUUUGGUCGAUUGUGCAUUUGUGCUAGGCUUCUAGAUCAAUAAAUUCUAUGCUAGAUCAGGAACUUGUUUAUUGUACUUCGCUUAUUAUUAACUGUUUCAGAGAAGUUCGUAUUGACCAAAAUUUGUCUCUGCAGUUCUUGACAUUGACACUGUGGGUACAUAUACAAUGUGCUAUGAAGCCCUCAAGUAUCUGAAAAGGGGUGGGCCAGGAAAAGGCCCAUCCAAUGGUGGCCUAAUCAUUAACAUAAGUGCAACACUGCAUUACACUGCGACUUGGUACCAAAUUCAUGUCUCUGCUGCUAAGGUACCUGGAUCUUCUCUGAAACACUCCUUAAGGUAAAAUAAUUGGAAUAAGCAGAUUUGUCCUGACGGAUUGGGUUGUAAAGGCAGGUGUUGAUAGCAUCACAAGAUCAUUGGCUCUGGAAUGGGGAACAGAUUAUGACAUUAGAGUCAACGGGAUUGCACCUGGACCAAUUCAAGGCACCCCGGGACUGAGAAAGCUUGCACCUGAGGAAAUGAGCAAGGGACUUCGAGAAAUGAUGCCACUGUUCAAGUUUGGGGAGAAGCAGGACAUAGCAAUGGCUGCGCUCUACCUUGCUUCUGAUG